AAAUAAGUGGAAUCUAAAACAAUAUAAAUGAAUUUUUUGUACAAUGUUAUAUUACAAUCCAUUAAAUUAGGUUACACUUUAGAUGGGUCUUUACCUUAUUUAUAAUUUUGUAACUGAACGCUUUGGUCAUUUGGAAAAUACUGGUCUACUUAGUUUUGUAAAUCUUCCAAGUGUUCUCAUACGAGAUUUUAAAAUCUCAUUGCUACUCUGUGUGUAUAAAUCACAUAGUUAUUCUAUUUACAUGAGAUAUUCAUAUUAGGCAAAUUCACACAGACAGUAGAUUAGCGGUUGCCACAGGAUAGGGAGAAGUAGGGGCUGGGAAGUGCUGAUAAUGGUCUCCUUUUGGGGUACUGAAAACGUUCUGGAGCUACAGAAAGGUGAUAGUGACACAACUUUGUGAAUAUGUAAAAACCACUUUAAAAGGGUAAAUUUUAGAGUAUGUGAAUUAUGUGUCAGUUUUUAAAAUUGCAUAUGUUAACACUUGCCACCAACCUCAUUAGAAAUGUAAAGUAUUGAAAAUACUGGAAAGUAGCAAACUCGUGGAGGUUGAAGAGAAGUCCUCCAAAAUUCUGUGUUUCCUUUGGAAAGCCUGAAUAUUAUUAUCCUUGGCAAACAAAUGUUUUCCUUGAAGAGACAGCCUCCUCUUCAAUAAUGUGUCUGCCAUAUGUAAACAUGGCGUUCCAUGAAAAAAGCAGAUUGGCUUUCAACUUGGUCUCGUGACUGCUUUUCUUAAAAACAACCGUUACACUUGAAUCUGCGGCAGACAUGCUUUGUGUUUUCCUUGCCAUAUAGGCUAUUACAAAGACGUGAGCUCAAGGAUGAAGAUUUAGUGAUUUUUACUCUUUCAUCAAAGAUAUCCAUCCGUAAGUGAAUCUGGCUAUGAUUAGCCAGCAGUUGCUUGGCGGUGACGAAUACCAUGACACUAGUGCCUUUUGGUGACACUGCUUUGACUCAAACUCAGGCACUAGCACUUUUACCCACUGUUUUUGCACCAUCGGGGUGAACAUCAACAGUUGCUCCAGAAUCAGCCACAAGGGAAUAGUUAGUCAGCAC
This 1053-nucleotide long non-coding RNA is filed under the name Marmota monax (woodchuck). Lineage: Eukaryota; Metazoa; Chordata; Mammalia; Rodentia; Sciuridae. The record is from RNAcentral.